AGACUUGAUGAGCAUCAAACUCAAGUGAUUAGAUCACUCUCAUUUUUCGUAUGCUAAAGUCUAUUGUGGCAUACUUGAAUCCGUGGGAAUAGGUGGUUCAUCCACACGAAGCACCAGGUCAAGGUCCUUAUAUCCAAGAGUGUAAAGGAUACUAUCUUUCUUGUCAGAAAAAUUAUCAUCACUUAACAUUGAAAUAAAAGCAGC
This 204-nucleotide long non-coding RNA is filed under the name Elaeis guineensis (African oil palm). Its description in RNAcentral is "long non-coding RNA (EGUI_LNC040612)". The record is from RNAcentral. Lineage: Eukaryota; Viridiplantae; Streptophyta; Magnoliopsida; Arecales; Arecaceae.